UUGGGAGAGGCUAAUCCGCUGCAUCCCAGAGGAAAGGUUAGUUAAGGAUAGUUAAAUUAUGUCUCUAUAUAAUGGUUGGUUAAGGAGAGUUAAAGUAUGUCUCUCUACAAAGGUUAGUUAUGGUUAUUUAAAGUAUGUCUCUUUCUAUAAAGGUUAGUUUAAGAUAGUCAAGUAUGUCUCUCUCUCUAAAGGUUACUUGUUGAUAGUUUAAGUAUUUCUCUCUCUAUAAAGGUUAGUUAUGGAUAUUUAAAGUAUGUCUCUCUCUAUAAAGGCUAGUAAUGGAUAGUUAAAGUAUGUCUCUCUCUAAAGCGUGGUUAUGGAUAAUUAAAGUAUGUCUCUCUCUAAACUUUCUAAAGGUUAGUUAAAGUAUGUAUCUCUCUAUAACGGCUGGUUAUGGAUAGUUAGUCUGUCUCUCUCUCAUUAUAAAGGGAUGAUAGAUAGUACAGUUGUAUGACCAAUCAAAUGGAUUGAUACCAGCCCCUUGGGUUCCUUCUCCUCCAUGAUGACAAAAGUAACUUUCUGCUCUGAAACAAUAAGCUGAACCAGUUGUCUCUGGAGGGGUUCAACUAAAACACGCCUGGACCUUUAACGGACCCUGAAGUCCCUCCAGCUGGGCUCCUAUCUCGGGUCCAUCUUGUUUCUUCUACCCUUCCUGGGUCCAGGUCACGUAUUGUGUACUACGCUUUAGUUAUGUAGGGCCUGCUGUUCAGAGCUGGUGUCAUUCAAACGUCCUCCCAUGGUUAACCUCAUUCAUCUGUUCUACAUCUAAUUCUGCUGACAUUUAAAAACUGGACUUCUGCAAGUUACAAGCACACAGGACACACCACACAAGACCGCCUGUCUUCACCGUUUUUAAGGGCUGUUUAUUACAAAAGGACUGUACAUAAAUUUCCAUGAACAUACUGUAUGUACAUGAGUGGAGGAAAGACAAGAAAUCUACGCAUUCUGUUCCCAAUAAGAACAAAGUCACAGAUCAGUUUAUUGGUUUUAGUUUUUUCUCUUUUCUCCACGUUUUCGUCAUAAGAAAAGAAACACACGCAAGAGCAGGCGAGCCUGUGACGUCAGCUCACAGGUUAGUGGUAAACAUUACAUCGUUCAGCCAGGGGUCAACAUCACCUCUAGGAAACCAAAGAAUAAAUAAACCAUUGACAUACAGCUGCAAGCAGACCUUCCCCAGCAGUGUAGGACUCAAAUAAUAAAGAAAGGAGGAGAAACCAAUGCAUUGCUAGAAAUGUGUCACAGAAAAAUUAUUUGAUUUUGUUUGUUCCACAAAAAUGCCAAAUAGCCCUGGAAGGAAACGUAAGAAACGGUUGAAUAGAGCGUGUUGAUGAUGUAGAGGACAAGGAUCACCAGCUGUGAGUCUUUCAAUACGUUCAUCACACACAAAAAGCUGAUGACACUGGUCAACAAGCCAGUGAAAUACAUGGUCUUCCAUUGUUUCGUUUGAGGGAUUCUCUUUGAAUGUACGAUACAGCUACUAGAUUUGAACUCCUCCCAUCGACAGAUGAGUGAACCCUAAAUGCCGAGUACACAUUCAUCCAAAUAUUGAUGUUUAUUUUGUUAAAAACGCCUAAGACGAAUGGUGAGUGUCAGCGUGUCACGGUCAUGUCAUGCAGAAGUUGCUUCAAGGUUCAAAACAUCCGCAUCACUUUGUGAAAUUCACUCAUCGGUUCCAUAAGCUGUAUGAUUUCUACGGUUUAAAUCGAU
Molecule: long non-coding RNA, 1707 nt
Organism: Gadus macrocephalus (Pacific cod)
Lineage: Eukaryota; Metazoa; Chordata; Actinopteri; Gadiformes; Gadidae
Exons: 2
Source: RefSeq, a predicted model, not a curated record